RNAcentral lists this transfer RNA (66 nucleotides) under mouse gut metagenome. It matches the Rfam family "tRNA", at positions 5 to 66 of the family's 71-position model. From Rfam's summary of the family: Transfer RNA (tRNA) molecules are approximately 80 nucleotides in length. Their secondary structure includes four short double-helical elements and three loops (D, anti-codon, and T loops). Further hydrogen bonds mediate the characteristic L-shaped molecular structure. tRNAs have two regions of fundamental functional importance: the anti-codon, which is responsible for specific mRNA codon recognition, and the 3' end, to which the tRNAs corresponding amino acid is attached (by aminoacyl-tRNA synthetases). tRNAs cope with the degeneracy of the genetic code in two manners: having more than one tRNA (with a specific anti-codon) for a particular amino acid; and 'wobble' base-pairing, i.e. permitting non-standard base-pairing at the 3rd anti-codon position. The record is from RNAcentral. RNAcentral also lists the same sequence under 1 other name.
AAUUAGCUCAGUUGGUAGAGCGCACGGCUGUUAACCGUUAGGUCGUAGGUUCGAGUCCUACAUUGG